This 470-nucleotide ribosomal RNA is filed under the name uncultured bacterium. RNAcentral describes it as "bacterial SSU rRNA". It matches the Rfam family "Bacterial small subunit ribosomal RNA", at positions 45 to 507 of the family's 1533-position model. The record is from RNAcentral.
UGCCUUACACGAUGCAAGUCGAACGGCAGGCACGGGGGCAACCCUGGUGGCGAGUGGCGAACGGGUGAGUAAUGCAUCGGAACGUGCCCAUCGGAUGGGGGAUAACUGCGCGAAAGCGUUGCUAAUACCGCAUACGACCUGAGGGUGAAAGCAGGGGACCGCAAGGCCUUGCGUCGAUGGAGCGGCCGAUGUCGGAUUAGCUAGUUGGUGGGGUAAAGGCUCACCAAGGCGACGAUCCGUAGCUGGUCUGAGAGGACGACCAGCCACACUGGGACUGAGACACGGCCCAGACUCCUACGGGAGGCAGCAGUGGGGAAUCUUGGACAAUGGGCGCAAGCCUGAUCCAGCAAUGCCGCGUGUGGGAAGAAGGCCUUCGGGUUGUAAACCACUUUUGGCAGGAAAGAAAUCGUCCGUGCUAAUACCAUGGAUGGAUGACGGUACCUGCAGAAUAAGCACCGGCUAACUACGUG